GAUGAACGCUGGCGGCGUGCCUAAUACAUGCAAGUCGAGCGAACGGACGAGAAGCUUGCUUCUCUGAUGUUAGCGGCGGACGGGUGAGUAACACGUGGAUAACCUACCUAUAAGACUGGGAUAACUUCGGGAAACCGGAGCUAAUACCGGAUAAUAUUUUGAACCGCAUGGUUCAAAAGUGAAAGACGGUCUUGCUGUCACUUAUAGAUGGAUCCGCGCUGCAUUAGCUAGUUGGUAAGGUAACGGCUUACCAAGGCAACGAUGCAUAGCCGACCUGAGAGGGUGAUCGGCCACACUGGAACUGAGACACGGUCCAGACUCCUACGGGAGGCCGCGGUAGGGAAUCUUCCGCAAUGGGCGAAAGCCUGACGGAGCAACGCCGCGUGAGUGAUGAAGGUCUUCGGAUCGUAAAACUCUGUUAUUAGGGAAGAACAUAUGUGUAAGUAACUGUGCACAUCUUGACGGUACCUAAUCAGAAAGCCACGGCUAACUACGUG
Molecule: ribosomal RNA, 497 nt
Filed under: uncultured bacterium
Lineage: Bacteria
Description: partial 16S ribosomal RNA
Rfam family: Bacterial small subunit ribosomal RNA
Source: RNAcentral